RNAcentral lists this ribosomal RNA (206 nucleotides) under uncultured bacterium. Its description in RNAcentral is "partial 16S ribosomal RNA". It matches the Rfam family "Bacterial small subunit ribosomal RNA", at positions 568 to 774 of the family's 1533-position model. The record is from RNAcentral.
UGCGUAGGCGGUGCUCUAAGUCUGUCGUGAAAUCUCCCGGCUUAACUGGGAGGGUGCGGCGGAAACUGGAAUGCUAGAGUGUGGGAGAGGUAAGCGGAAUUCCUGGUGUAGCGGUGAAAUGCGUAGAUAUCAGGAGGAACACCCGUGGUGUAGACAGCUUACUGGACCACGACUGACGCUGAGGCACGAAAGCGUGGUAGCAAACA